GGGAGGGGGCGAGGGGCUCGCGGGCUGCUUUCCGGACGCGGUCCUCGGGCAGUUGGGAGAAACUCUGCCCUUGGGACGGGGCGCUGCGCUCUUCCCCGGGCCAGCGAAAGUGGCGGAUUUUACAGCGAAACUCGGGGAAGCCGGGCAGGACCGGACGGAAGGGAGAGGGACCGGGAGGACCGGUCUGGAUGGGCAGCAGAGAUGAACAAAUCCGCCUGAAACUUUGGUCUGUGGAAGGUGCGGGAUUGUGGCAGCUGCGGAACUGUCUGGCAGGAGUCUUCUGUGAAGGGUCCCAUCCAGCGCUAAAGAGCUUGUAAAUCGUUAGGUAAAGAAGGCGACGGGCCGCCUGUGCGUCUCCUCCUCGCGUGACCCUGCCGCUCAGAAAGCCUGUCGCUGUAAACAUCCCCGACUGGAAGCUGUGGGCCACGGCAGAGCUUUCAGUCGGAUGUUUGCUGCUACCGGCUGCUCACUGGCCUCGUUGGGGCUCCUUGUGCCGGGGACGUGCGGUCGGCGAGGCCCCUCUGUUUGCUGCUGUCUUGGAGGACGCCUGGGUGGUGACAGAGUGAAGAGGUGUGUGCACGUGAACGUGGCCUCUGCACCCCUCACCCUGACUGAUGUCACAGCUCCUGUCUGAGCGCUGCCGUCAGAAACGUGCGUGACCGCAGGUGGCGGGGCCUGCGCACGGCGUUCACUGGUGCUGAGAAGUGUUUCGGGCUGUCGCUAGCCUUCUGCUCCGUCGCUCGAGUCUGGACGGAUGCCUGGGGUGCCGGUGCGCGGUCGGUGGGCCCCGCUUCCCCCCAGGGCUGCGUGUCCCCGGCCCUCCUCCUCGACGGCUUCGUCGUGGAUGACUUGAUUAGCAGCUUGGUGACUGAGGUCUACAAAUUUGAUUUCUUAUUUUCAUCUGUCCUUUAGACUCUGGGAAGUGUGUGUUUUACUGAAAUUUUUCUCUUCAAUAAAGCGUUGGUAUUUUUCAGA
Molecule: long non-coding RNA, 975 nt
Organism: Suricata suricatta (meerkat)
Lineage: Eukaryota; Metazoa; Chordata; Mammalia; Carnivora; Herpestidae
Exons: 4
Source: RefSeq, a predicted model, not a curated record